AUUGAACGCUGGCGGCAUGCCUUACACAUGCAAGUCGAACGGUAGAGUAGCAAUACUCGAGAGUGGCGAACGGGUGAGUAAUAUAUCGGAACGUGCCCAGUCGUGGGGGAUAACGUAGAGAAAUUUACGCUAAUACCGCAUACGAUCUAAGGAUGAAAGCGGGGGAUUCGCAAGAACCUCGCGCGAUUGGAGCGGCUGAUAUCAGAUUAGGUUGUUGGUGAGGUAAAAGCUCACCAAGCCGACGAUCUGUAGCUGGUUUGAGAGAACGACCAGCCACACUGGGACUGAGACACGGCCCAGACUCCUACGGGAGGCAGCAGUGGGGAAUUUUUGGGACAAUGGACGCAAGUCUGAUCCAGCCAUUCCGCGUGCAGGAUGAAGGCCCUCGGGUUGUAAACUGCUUUUGUACGGAACGAAAGGUUUGUCUUAAUACGAUGAGCUCAUGACGGUACCGUAGAAUAAGCACCGGCUAACUACGUGCCAGCAG
RNAcentral lists this ribosomal RNA (487 nucleotides) under uncultured bacterium. RNAcentral's name for it is "bacterial SSU rRNA". It matches the Rfam family "Bacterial small subunit ribosomal RNA", at positions 30 to 514 of the family's 1533-position model. The record is from RNAcentral.